UAAGAAUUAGAAGGGUUACACUUCUUCUUAAGACUUUGAAGGUCUUUGGUCUUAUUAUCCUAAAUUC
This 67-nucleotide transfer RNA is filed under the name Dicamptodon copei (Cope's giant salamander). Its description in RNAcentral is "tRNA-Trp". Lineage: Eukaryota; Metazoa; Chordata; Amphibia; Caudata; Dicamptodontidae. The record is from RNAcentral.